GACGAACGCUUGCGACGUGCCUAAGAAAUGCAAGUCGAGCGAAGUUAGGGAGCUUGCUCCCGAAGCUUAGCGGCGAACGGUCGCGUAACACGUAAGCAACCUGCCCCAAAGAGGGGGAUAGCCCACCGAAAGGUGGAUUAAUACCGCAUGUGAACACUUUUCCGCAUGUUUAAGUGUUUAAAGCAGCAAUGCGCUUUGGGAUGGGCUUGCGGCCUAUCAGCUAGUUGGUGAGGUAACGGCUCACCAAGGCGACGACGGGUAGCUGGUCUGAGAGGAUGGUCAGCCGGACUGGGACUGAGAUACGGCCCAGACUCCUACGGGGGGCAGCAAUUAGGAAUCUUGCACAAUGGGCGAAAGCCUGAUGCAGCGACGUCGCGUGAAGGAUGACGGCCUUCGGGUUGUAAACUUCUUUUAAGGGGGAAGAACACAAUGACGGUACCCCUUGAAUAAGCCCCGGCUAACUACGUGCCAGCAGCCGCAGUAACAC
This 487-nucleotide ribosomal RNA is filed under the name uncultured bacterium. RNAcentral's name for it is "bacterial SSU rRNA". It matches the Rfam family "Bacterial small subunit ribosomal RNA", at positions 28 to 526 of the family's 1533-position model. The record is from RNAcentral.